CAGUUUCCAGUACCUCAAGUGAAAGCUCUGGCACAAGUCUGCACACAGCUAUAACUUCCUCAGGCCCUGCUUUCACAAUUUCAUCCAGCACAUUGGAUUCUACAACAUUUAGUGGUCCAGGUGUCUCAUUGGAUUCUACAACAUCUAGUGGCCCAAGUGUCUCAGGCCCUGCUUUCACAAUCUCAUCCAGCACUUUGGAUUCUACGACAUUUAGUGAUCCAGGUGUCUCAUUUGAUUCUACAUCUAGUGUCCCAAGUGUCUCAGAUUCAUUUUAUACAACUCAAGCUACUUCACCUGGCAUCUCAGCAACAUCUUCAAAAACAAGUCCCUAUGUGUCAGGUAAAUU
This is a long non-coding RNA of Bombina bombina (fire-bellied toad), 346 nucleotides long. RefSeq lists it as uncharacterized. Lineage: Eukaryota; Metazoa; Chordata; Amphibia; Anura; Bombinatoridae. The transcript has 4 exons. The record is from RefSeq and is a predicted model, not a curated record.